Molecule: ribosomal RNA, 254 nt
Filed under: uncultured bacterium
Lineage: Bacteria
Description: partial 16S ribosomal RNA
Rfam family: Bacterial small subunit ribosomal RNA
Source: RNAcentral
UACGUAGGGGUCUAGCGUUGUCCGGAAUCAUUGGGCGGAAAGAGCUCGUAGGCGGUUCGGCAAGUCGGAUGUGGAAUCUCCACGCUCAACGUGGAGGGGCCAUUCGAAACUGCCGUGACUCGAGUCCGGUAGGGGAGUGCGGAAUUCCCGGUGUAGCGGUGAAAUGCGCAGAUAUCGGGAGGAACACCAGUGGCGAAGGCGACUACCUGGCCUGUUCUUGACGCUGAGGCGCGAAAGCUAGGGGAGCAAACGGG